This 344-nucleotide long non-coding RNA is filed under the name Cricetulus griseus (Chinese hamster). RNAcentral's name for it is "lncRNA (ENSCGRG00015029555.1)". The record is from RNAcentral. Lineage: Eukaryota; Metazoa; Chordata; Mammalia; Rodentia; Cricetidae.
UGAUGUGCACAUGGCUAAGAAUGCCCAGUGAGGUGUAGCAGACAUCGCCACCUGAGAUUUCACCAUUUACAGUUUCUGUCAGCCACAGACCACAGCCCUCAAACGUUAAAUGAAUCAGAACUGAGAAUCUCAGCUCCUGUUCUGAGUGCAGUUUCUCACCAAGGUCCAGACUGGACCUGGGAAGCCACCUGAUGAGGGGCCCUAGAGGGUCAGUGACUACUGGCAUCAUUCCAGCCCCAGGUGAGUUCUGUUACUCUGUCAUCAUGUUUAGCCAGCCCCCAGCAAUGCCACAGGGCCUUUGCUCAUGUUCUUGGGGUUGCUGAGGUGCUGGGGCCUCCACAGAG